GUAGAACGGGCCAACGAGUUACGUUAAGUAGCAAGGUUAAGCACUUAAGGUGUGGAGCCGUAGCGAAAGCGAGUUUUAACUGAGCGUUCAGUUACUUGACGUAGACCCGAAACCGGGCGACCUACCCAUGAGCAGGAUGAAGCGAAAGUAAAAUUUCGUGGAGGUCCGAACCCACGGGCGUUGAAAAGCUCGGGGAUGACUUGUGGGUAGCGGUGAAAUUCCAAUCGAGCCCGGAGAUAGCUGGUUCUCCCCGAAAUAGCUUUAGGGCUAGCCUCAAGGUGAGAGAUACGGAGGUAGAGCACUG
RNAcentral lists this ribosomal RNA (304 nucleotides) under Clostridioides difficile. RNAcentral's name for it is "bacterial LSU rRNA". It matches the Rfam family "Bacterial large subunit ribosomal RNA", at positions 610 to 912 of the family's 2925-position model. The record is from RNAcentral. Lineage: Bacteria; Bacillati; Bacillota; Clostridia; Peptostreptococcales; Peptostreptococcaceae.